This 322-nucleotide ribosomal RNA is filed under the name Klebsiella pneumoniae. RNAcentral describes it as "partial 23S ribosomal RNA". It matches the Rfam family "Bacterial large subunit ribosomal RNA", at positions 1493 to 1796 of the family's 2925-position model. The record is from RNAcentral. Lineage: Bacteria; Pseudomonadati; Pseudomonadota; Gammaproteobacteria; Enterobacterales; Enterobacteriaceae.
GGGCGACGGUUGUCCCGGUUUAAGCAUGUAGGCUGGUUGUCCAGGCAAAUCCGGAUAAUCAAGGCUGAGGUGUGAUGACGAGGCACUACGGUGCUGAAGUAACAAAUGCCCUGCUUCCAGGAAAAGCCUCUAAGCAUCAGGUAACAUCAAAUCGUACCCCAAACCGACACAGGUGGUCAGGUAGAGAAUACCAAGGCGCUUGAGAGAACUCGGGUGAAGGAACUAGGCAAAAUGGUGCCGUAACUUCGGGAGAAGGCACGCUGGUGUGUAGGUGAAGCCCCUGCGGGUGGAGCUGAGACCAGUCGAAGAUACCAGCUGGCUG